This is a long non-coding RNA of Ornithorhynchus anatinus (platypus), 588 nucleotides long. RefSeq lists it as uncharacterized. The transcript has 2 exons. NCBI's taxonomy places the organism in Eukaryota, Metazoa, Chordata, Mammalia, Monotremata, Ornithorhynchidae. The record is from RefSeq and is a predicted model, not a curated record.
CAGUGGGCAAAGCUCAGCAAGGCCAGGAGCUGCAAGUGUGACCUCCCCCACUCGAAUUCUAGUUACAGUCCCCCCUACCUCCAAACACACAUGCACAGAGCUGGGUGACCCACCUCCACACACACACAACCCCAGUCGGACCCCCAUAGCCUAGCAGAGGGAGCACUAGCAUCUCACACAGGCCCUCUCUGACUCUCCACAGGGGCUACUCUCCCCCCAACCGGACAGUUGGCCCUGCUGCUGGGGCUCAUGGUGGCCACGGGAGUCCUGGACGACUGGGUUUGAUGGCUGCACGGUGUGGGGGCCGACCCAGCACCUCCGACCACCACUUUCACUGAAGUCUCACAGGAGCAUCGAUUUACUGUUGGUUUACUGAGCACCAACAGUGGCACUGGACUGAAUGCUGGAGAGACUCUGGAGGAACUAAAAGACUCUGCCUUCUCCCUCGAUAACCUUCCCAUCUAAUGGGGGCCUAGCAGGCAUAAAUUAUUUUCAGAAAGGAGGAGCGGGAAGAAGCACACAGACGGAACUGCUAAAAUCAAGAGAAUGGGAAUGCGAAUAAUAAAUCAUUGAGUGGAGCAUGUAAAA